GAACCUCCGGUGUAUCGGUUAUGCUGCCAAGUGUACCGCCGAGUAGCCGCGUUCGGUUUGGAUAAGCGCUGAAAGCAUCUAAGCGCGAAGCCAUCCCCAAGAUAAGUCUUCCCUUGAGGGGCGUAGGAGACGACUACGUUGAUAGGCUGCAGGUGUAAAGACAGUAAUGUCAAAGCCGAGCAGUACUAAUUACCCGAGAGGCUUUCUUGC
This 210-nucleotide ribosomal RNA is filed under the name Candidatus Alistipes merdavium. Its description in RNAcentral is "partial 23S ribosomal RNA". It matches the Rfam family "Bacterial large subunit ribosomal RNA", at positions 2703 to 2925 of the family's 2925-position model. Lineage: Bacteria; Pseudomonadati; Bacteroidota; Bacteroidia; Bacteroidales; Rikenellaceae. The record is from RNAcentral.